This 407-nucleotide ribosomal RNA is filed under the name uncultured bacterium. RNAcentral's name for it is "partial 16S ribosomal RNA". It matches the Rfam family "Bacterial small subunit ribosomal RNA", at positions 355 to 774 of the family's 1533-position model. The record is from RNAcentral.
UGGGGAAUAUUGCACAAUGGGCGGAAGCCUGAUGCAGCAACGCCGCGUGCGGGAUGACGGCCUUCGGGUUGUAAACCGCUUUCGCCUGUGACGAAGCGUGAGUGACGGUAAUGGGUAAAGAAGCACCGGCUAACUACGUGCCAGCAGCCGCGGUGAUACGUAGGGUGCGGGGGUUGUCCGGAUUUAUUGGGCGUAAAGGGCUCGUAGGUGGUUGAUCGCGUCGGAAGUGUAAUCUUGGGGCUUAACCCUGAGCGUGCUUUCGAUACGGGUUGACUUGAGGAAGGUAGGGGAGAAUGGAAUUCCUGGUGGAGCGGUGGAAUGCGCAGAUAUCAGGAGGAACACCAGUGGCGAAGGCGGUUCUCUGGGCCUUUCCUGACGCUGAGGAGCGAAAGCGUGGGGAGCGAACA